CCCCCUUUUCCUACUUCUUCUUUUCAUCUUCAACUUCUACUUCUUUUUUUUCAUCAUCAUCAUCUUCUUCUACUUAUUGUUCUUUUUUUUCUUCUUCUUCUUCCUCUUCUUCUUUUACUUCUUUUUUCAUCUUUCUUGUUUGUUCAUAAAAAUUACAAAAAAACCCUAAACAAAACUAUAAACUAAAUGUAACCUAAAAUAAACUAACCUAACCUAAACUAACCUAACCUAAACAAAACUAACCUAACCUAAACUAAACUAAACUACCCUAACCUAACCUAAACUAAACUAAAAAACAUAAACUAAAUCUAAAAAAAGAAAAAAAAACUCACCA
This 334-nucleotide long non-coding RNA is filed under the name Triticum aestivum (bread wheat). RNAcentral's name for it is "long non-coding RNA (TAES_LNC008604)". The record is from RNAcentral. Lineage: Eukaryota; Viridiplantae; Streptophyta; Magnoliopsida; Poales; Poaceae.